AACACGUGGGUAACCUGCCCCGUAGUGGGGAAUAACUCCUCGAAAGGGGAGCUAAUACCGCAUAAGACCCCCGGUGAGAGUCCGGGUGGUGAAAGCUCCGGCGCUACGGGAGGGGCCCGCGGCCGAUUAGCUAGUUGGUGGGGUAAUGGCCUACCAAGGCGACGAUCGGUAGCUGGUCUGAGAGGAUGGUCAGCCACACGGGGACUGAGAUACGGCCCCGACUCCUACGGGAGGCAGCAGCUAAGAAUCUUGCGCAAUGGGCGAAAGCCUGACGCAGCAAUUCCGCGUGGAGGACGAAGGCCUUCGGGUUGUAAACUCCUUUUGUGAGGGAAGAAGUUCUGACGGUACCUCACGAAUAAGACACGGCUAACUACGUGCCAGCAGCCGCGGUAAUACGUAGGUGUCGAGCGUUGUCCGGAUUUAUUGGGCGUAAAGCGCCCGCAGGCGGCCAGGCAAGUCCAGGGUGAAAUCUCCCGGCUCAACCGGGAGGGUGCCCUGGAAACUGCCAGGCUUGAGGCAGGGAGAGGGAUGUGGAAUUCCCGGUGUAGUGGUGAAAUGCGUAGAUAUCGGGAGGAACACCAGUGGCGAAGGCGGCAUCCUGGCCCUGUCCUGACGCUCAGGGGCGAAAGCGUGGGGAGCAAACCGGAUUAGAUACCCGGGUAGUCCACGCCGUAAACGAUGAGUACUAGGUGUUGGAGGUAUCGACCCCUUCAGUGCCGAAGCCAACGCGAUAAGUACUCCGCCUGGGGACUACGGC
Molecule: ribosomal RNA, 757 nt
Filed under: Caldilineales bacterium
Lineage: Bacteria; Bacillati; Chloroflexota; Caldilineae; Caldilineales
Description: bacterial SSU rRNA
Rfam family: Bacterial small subunit ribosomal RNA
Source: RNAcentral